Molecule: ribosomal RNA, 493 nt
Filed under: uncultured Paracoccaceae bacterium
Lineage: Bacteria; Pseudomonadati; Pseudomonadota; Alphaproteobacteria; Rhodobacterales; Paracoccaceae
Description: bacterial SSU rRNA
Rfam family: Bacterial small subunit ribosomal RNA
Source: RNAcentral
AUACGAAGGGACCUAGCGUAGUUCGGAAUUACUGGGCUUAAAGAGUUCGUAGGUGGUUGAAAAAGUUAGUGGUGAAAUCCCAGAGCUUAACUCUGGAACUGCCAUUAAAACUUUUCAGCUAGAGUAUGAUAGAGGAAAGCAGAAUUUCUAGUGUAGAGGUGAAAUUCGUAGAUAUUUGGAGGAACACCAGUGGCGAAGGCGGCUCACUGGCUCGAUACUGACGCUGAGGUACGAAAGUGUGGGGAGCAAACAGGAUUAGAUACCCUGGUAGUCCACACCGUAAACGAUGAAUGCCAGACGUCAGCAAGUAUACUUGUUGGUGUCACACCUAACGGAUUAAGCAUUCCGCCUGGGGAGUACGGUCGCAAGAUUAAAACUCAAAUGAAUUGACGGGGGCCCGCACAAGCGGUGGAGCAUGUGGUUUAAUUCGACGCAACGCGAAGAACCUUACCUGGUCUUGACAUCCUGCGAACUUUCUAGAGAUAGAUUGGUG